This 774-nucleotide ribosomal RNA is filed under the name uncultured Neocallimastigales. RNAcentral's name for it is "partial large subunit ribosomal RNA". It matches the Rfam family "Eukaryotic large subunit ribosomal RNA", at positions 24 to 642 of the family's 3401-position model. The record is from RNAcentral. Lineage: Eukaryota; Fungi; Neocallimastigomycota; Neocallimastigomycetes; Neocallimastigales.
UAUCUCUGUAGAGUCUGCAUAUCAAUAAGCGGAGGAAAAGAAACUAACAAGGAUUCCCCUAGUAACGGCGAGUGAAGCGGGAAGAGCUCAAAUUUGAAAUCUUCAAGGUUUGACCUUGACGAAUUGUAGUUUAAAGAAGUGUUUUCGGUUAGAGGAGUAGUAAAAGUUCUUUGGAAUAGGACAUCAUAGAGGGUGAGAAUCCCGUAUUUGACUAUUCUUUCUAGCUUUGUGAUACACUUUCAAAGAGUCGGAUUGUUUGGGAAUGCAGUCCAAAAUGGGUGGUAAAUUUCAUCUAAAGCUAAAUAUUGGCGAGAGACCGAUAGCGAACAAGUACCGUGAGGGAAAGAUGAAAAGAACUUUGAAAAGAGAGUCAAACAGUACGUGAAAUUGUCAAAAGGGAAGCGUUUGACACCAGUGUUGUUUUUCCGAAAAUCAAUUAAAAAUUGAUUCAUGCCAGGUUGUAUUGACCUUAUCAGCUUGCAAUUUGGUUUUGGGUCUCUUUUUGAUGCACUUUUCGGUUAACAAGUCAACAUCAAUUUCCUUUGCUGUAAAAAGGUAAGAGGAAGGUGGCUUCAAUUUCGGUUGAAGUGUUUAUAGCCUUUUAUCUCUGCAGUCGGGGAGAUUGAGGUCUGCAGCGUAGAUCCUUCGGGGCUAGAUACAUUUAUGCUAAGUUAUAGCUUUUCAUAGACAACUUGUUGACUAUGUUUAGUCAUGUAGCUUACUCGUAAGUGCUAUUUUACCUACGCUUAGGAUGUUGAAGACUCUACAGAGAUA